GAUGAACGCUAGCGGCAGGCUUAAUACAUGCAAGUCGAGGGGCAGCAUGACUGUAGCAAUACAGUUGAUGGCGACCGGCAAACGGGUGCGGAACACGUACAGAACCUUCCUUCGAGCGGGGAAUAGCCCAGAGAAAUUUGGAUUAAUACCCCAUAGUACAACGGAGUGGCAUCACUUUGUUGUUAAAGAUUUAUCACUUGAAGAUGGCUGUGCGGCUGAUUAGGUAGUUGGCGGGGUAACGGCCCACCAAGCCUGCGAUCAGUAACUGGUGUGAGAGAACGACCGGUGACACGGGCACUGAGACACGGGCCCGACUCCAACGGGAGGCAGCAGUAAGGAAUAUUGGUCAAUGGACGAAAGUCUGAACCAGCCAUGCCGCGUGGAGGAUGAAGGUCCUCUGGAUUGUAAACUUCUUUUAUAUGGGACGAAAAAAGGGUUUUCUAACUCGUCUGACGGUACCAUAUGAAUAAGCGCCGGCUAACUCCGU
Molecule: ribosomal RNA, 487 nt
Filed under: uncultured Terrimonas sp.
Lineage: Bacteria; Pseudomonadati; Bacteroidota; Chitinophagia; Chitinophagales; Chitinophagaceae
Description: bacterial SSU rRNA
Rfam family: Bacterial small subunit ribosomal RNA
Source: RNAcentral